GAGUGUAAGAAACUUGAGGUGAAACAAGAAAGUGCCAGUGAGUUGAAACAAAAAUGAGUUGGAACGAAACGUUUCAUACACAUGAAUUGAAACGGAAUACAUGUGUACCCAAACUAGCCAAAUGAAUAUAUUGCUUGCUCUGCCUAACUAUCAAACCUACAUAAGCUAACAAGUGGGCUAGUCCGAUCGGCAUGGACAUGAAACGGGAUCCGCCUCUGCUUAGGAGAUUGGCAAAUUUAUAGUAUUUUUUUUAUUAUUUUUUAAUCUUUAUUUUAUUUAAAGCAUUAUUUGAGUGAAAAGAAACACAUUGCAACAAAUUCGCAUUCAAAAAUAUCACAUUUAAAAAUUUUGCUACAUUGCUAAAAAAUGAGGAAAAUUUUACAUUUCCUCAAACAGGGUAAGGAACUUGGUUCCUCGAAUAACUUCCGGCACGGACACCUGAGAGCAUGGCCGUCCAAGAAGAAAAUGUAGCCGUUGGUGCCAUCUAUCGACCACAGGUUAAAGAUUGGCGAUCCGUUGGAUACCGACCGAGUUAUAGGCAAAACUUGGUGCAAAAAUGAGCCUUAGUAAAUUUUAAUUUUUGUGAAUUUUUUGAUUUUUUUUAUUAUUUUUCACUCUUUUUUUAUUUAAAGCAUUACUUGAGUGAAAAGAAACACAUUGCAAAAAAAUUGGCAUUAAAAUAAAUCAAUUUAAUUUUUUUUGCAAAAUUUCCCAAAAAAAUCGUAAGGGGUAAGCCUUAUAAAAUUUUCGAGUUGAAAAUUUUUUAAAAUUUUUUUUCUGAUUUUUUAUUCUUUAUUUUAUUUAAAGCAUUAUUUGAGUAAAAAGAAACACAUUGCAACAAAUUUGCAUUCAAAUAUAUCACAUUUAAAAAUUUUGCUACAUUGCUCAAAAAUGAGGAAAAUUUUACAUUUUCUCAAACAGGGUAAGGAACUUGGUUCCUCGAAUAACUUCCGGCACGGACACCUGAGAGCAUGGCUGUCCAAGAAGAAAAUGUAGCCAUUGGUGCCACCUAUCGACCACAAGUUAAAGAUUGGCAAUCCGUUGGAUACCGACCGAGUUAUUGACAAAACUUGGUGCAAAAAUGAGGAAAAUUUUACAUUUUCUCAAACAGGGUAAGGAACUUGGUUCCUCGAAUAACUUCUGGCACAGACAUCUGAGAGCAUGGCCGUCCAAGAAGAAAAUGUAGCCGUUGGUGCCAUCUAUCGACCACAGGUUAAAGAUUGGCGAUCCGUUGGAUACCGACCGAGUUAUAGGCAAAACUUGGUGCAAAAAUGAGCCUUAGUAAAUUUUAAUUUUUGUGAAUUUUUUGAUUUUUUUUAUUAUUUUUCACUCUUUUUUUAUUUAAAGCAUUACUUGAGUGAAAAGAAACACAUUGCAAAAAAAUUGGCAUUAAAAUAAAUCAAUUUAAUUUUUUUUGCAAAAUUUCCCAAAAAAAUCGUAAGGGGUAAGCCUUAUAAAAUUUUCGAGUUGAAAAUUUUUUAAAAUUUUUUUUCUGAUUUUUUAUUCUUUAUUUUAUUUAAAGCAUUAUUUGAGUAAAAAGAAACACAUUGCAACAAAUUUGCAUUCAAAUAUAUCACAUUUAAAAAUUUUGCUACAUUGCUCAAAAAUGAGGAAAAUUUUACAUUUUCUCAAACAGGGUAAGGAACUUGGUUCCUCGAAUAACUUCCGGCACGGACACCUGAGAGCAUGGCUGUCCAAGAAGAAAAUGUAGCCAUUGAUGCCAUCUAUCGACCACAAGUUAAAGAUUGGCGAUCCGUUGGAUACCGACCGAGUUAUAGGCAAAACUUGGUGCAAAAAUGAGCCUUAUGCAAUUUUCAAAUUUUUAGAAUUGUUUUAUUUUUUAUUAUUUUGUAUUCUUUUUAUUUACUGACUGACUCCUAAUAACGACUCAUUCACUCUGAGUUGACUCACUAAAAAGAGUUGUUAUUCUCAUCUCUAUUUCGGACACACAAACGUACAAACGUAUGUGGAAUUGAAGUAAAAACUAAUGACCUAUUUUUUAUGGUUUUUGCUGUUAUAUUGAGCUGAAGUUGUUGCCCAAACAAAGGAGCUGAAGGAUCUUUGCGUAACAUGCAAACGGGCGCAAACAAAGUCACAAUGGCAAAGCAAACUUAAAGAAAACAAUUUGCCAAAACGCGGCAUUCAACACACUCAAAUCAAAGAGUGUACAACAUGUUUACAAAGCAAACAAUACUGAACUGAAGAUAAUUACGUAUCUCACAGGCAAUGCAAACAUAUUUUAUACUGAAAUACCUACAAACACAUCAUAAAAAGAACAAAUAAAAUUUUAUCUCUUUCAGUUUACAAAACCUAACUUUAACUUUAAUUUUUAACUAUAAUAUCAACUUGAUUUGUGAACAUUCAAAAUUCAACAAGGGUCGAUCAUAGAAUUAAGAUUCCAAACAAGAUUCCACCCGCUUUUGUUUUGGUAGAUGAGGAUGCAUAAUAAUUUGAUUACUCGAAUCACCGUAGAACCGUUGCGAAUUCAGAACGGUACACGGAACAAAACCCCCUUCAAAGAAUAUGGAAAACAGUCGAACGGUACACGUUGUAAAUGGGCGCUUGUGAAAACACAUGUGAAACAACGCAUGUCCGUAAACACACGACUAAAACGCGGGUGGCGGCCAGUGACGAACUACCAGUGUUCCCAUAUUUCCUAGCACGUUGACCGUAAACUUCACUUUCCACCCUGACAAUGGUACGCGCCUUACCACCCAAAACAGUGUCCAAAUGCACACGCUUCAUGCGCACACAUAAUAUGUCACACGGAGAUAUAUGGAACGCCAUCACCAUUUUCCAAUCUUCGUACCUGGCACGUGCACUAUUACGAACGGAAGUGAUCAAUCAGUGAGACCUCCGGGGGGCAUUGGUUUUACGUUUAUCUUCCCGUUCCAUUUCUCCACACACUAUUCCAGUCCAGCAAAAGCAAUGGCGCUCUUCAUGCUUCCAUAAUGAUGGAGUCACUUUUAUCACGUACGGUGAAGUCGCGCACUACGGCCAUAUACGGCGAUUACCUCCUUAAGCGAUUGGCGAACGAUGCGUCUAGGAUGUGCAAAAGGUGGGGAAAAAGAUCCCUUCACCGGUGAUCGCGAUCGCAGAAAAUGUUGUCUCUAGCCUCGGGCUGUUUUAUCGUUACAUAAUGAGAUAGAAAGAUGCUUGCAAGCAGGCAGUGUUAUAUCAGCCAUGGUUUUCGGCAAGUUUAUUGGAGUGUGGUAAACUUUGGGGUCAAUGAAAAGCAUUAACAGAGUGCAGCAUUUGUGAGUGAUUGAUUGACAGCGCGAUGACGGUAAUUAGUAAUCUAAAUGUACUAAAAUGCAUUUUUAUUGCCGUAAUCACUGCCGGUUGGAUAGCCAGCCUUACCGAGUCACAGCGCAAUCGACUUAAUGCUUUCUACCCUUCAUCAUGUGCAGACGAUGAUUGUGCGAAGCUGUUCCAAAUGAAAUUUUCAUCUUUUUCGUAAGAUAAAUUUAUCUAUUAAUCUCAUUCACACUGAAAUGUAAAAUACAAAACGAUACACAAACGAAAGUAAUUAUAUUUUAGUGAAAAUCAUUCGUUCCGUUCGCCCAACAAAAAAAAAACCCAGCAACAUAAUGAGCGUGAAUAAAAAAAAUGAAACGAACCACAUUUGCGAUCGACUCAAUUAAUUAACAGCUAAUAAGCCGGUUAAAUGCUUUCGUUUUUUUUUUCUUUUCCUUUCCCUUGCAUCGGAGGGUUGAUAUGCUUUCCAUCCUUCCGGCUGCUAUGGUUAGCGAUCUCCACACAAUUGCAUCUCCACGGUGGAUGUGAUCGGUCGAUCGAUAGGCAGAAGUAGGAAAGAAAUAUUUUUAUUUUUUUUUUGCGGAAAAAAAAGAAUUAACACGCAACAGGAAUCGAUCAACAAAAUAAAACCGGAGGGAAAAUCUUAAACGCAACAAAAGAAAAAAAAACAUUCCGAUCUACUGUUACAGAUUGAUCGUAGAAAUAGAAAUGGAUUAGAGAAAAUCAGCAUUUAGAAAAACGCAUUCCGAUCGUUUCCGUCAUUUUUCGCGCGAGUUGCCAUUUCCGGCAGUUCGCCGCGCCCGGCGGCAUCGGUGCGGUACCUUCCCGAUUGACAGCGGGAAAGGAAAAACCAAUACCCAAUUCGUUAUGUCUCGAAGCUGGUAGAAGAAGAUAAAACGAACCCCGGUUCGUGUACCGGUCUCGGCUUUGGGGUGUGUUAUAAAGAAAUAUUGAUUUGAAGUUUUGCCGCCGUCUGCUUCACAAUCUCAUAGCGCACAAACACCUACGCGACGUCAAACCGGGCGGAUAUUCGUAACCGAGUUAUGCAAAAAUAAAUUUCGCCAGUAAAGAGCUUUUCUUCGUGAUCUCACCUCCCUCUCCCCAAAAUCCUCCUUCCAAAAAAUCCAAUACAAUUCUCCUCUCGAUGAAAACCAAUCGAAGGCGAGUAGAAGUGGCUUAUUUUUUGGGACAACCGGCCUCCGGGGCUUGAUGUCGAUGAACCUACUUUUCCCUGCACUUAAAUUUUCCCCCCUGGUUUCAUUAGGUGGCGAAGAAAGAAAACAAACCAAACACAAGCGUCCAAUGUCCGAAUACACAAGCGUCAUGAUGAUUAUGAGUGAUGCACUUUUUUUUGUUUUUUUUUCGGUUUUUUGCAUCGUGCAAUCGACCUUUCUAUGUCGCGGGAGAAGGAAUGUUGUGGAAUGUGAUGUUAUUAAAUUAAAGCGUUUUUUUUUCUUCGUGCCGUACUUUACGGUCGCGCGAGCCGCCGGGAAUAGAAACCAAAUCCGUCAACUAAUCCUAUUAGAUGUGGAAGGCAAGUUGCUGCGUCAAUUGCAUAUGCGUCUUUUGAAAGGGGCGGUUUUAAACCCGUGAAGUAUUACUCAAAAAAGAUCACUUGGAAUGGAGAAGUAAGAGGAUUGGGGUAAAAGGAAUGCUGAAGGAAAAGGAAGAAUCCAGUACAACGAGUACAGUAGCUUCGGUCUGAGUUCGCUGUUUGUAACGCGUUGAAGUCACUUAUCCUUUCUUGAGCCAUCCAAAAUCAUUGAAUCUGCUGAUCAUUCUAUUUGGUAUCUCUGGAUGUAGGACUCUUUAGAGACAUCGAAUUCUGUGACGAAAUGAGCCGAGAUACAAGUCUCUCUUUUACUUCAACCACCUUGCAAAUCAGACGUCUCAUCGCUAUGGAAAUAUCACAAACAACGGCAUUCAUCAUCAAACCAUUUCAUUGAUUUUUAAUGUAAAAAAACUGAUUUUUUUAUCUUUUCCUUUGAUACAUAAACCUAAUGAAAUAAAUGGUAUUCCUUAUAGGGGUAUGUUAAUUGGUUGAAACAUUUGCAUAAAAUAUGGAAAAUAGAAAGGUUUUCUCCCCCCCGCUUUUCUUCUGUCAAUCAAAUUGGCUAUUCCGUGCGAAGCAAUAAAUGAUCUGAGGCAUUGCCAAACAAUUUAUAUCAAUUUACUAUUGACUCAUUAUAAUCCAUUACCCAAACACAAGCUCGGUCUCGGUGACCGGCCUACAGGGGACUGCUUAACGAUAUUUGCAUUCAGCAGCUCUACACACAUUCGCGAGCACACGCGCACACAAAUUCCAAACCCCGUAAAUAUGCAUGCCUUCAUUAAAGCUAUGCUUGUGCAGCACCGUUGCAUAAUGAACGAUUGCUUUCUCCGGCUCCAAUCAUCCGAAACACUUCCAAACACAGCUGGUUCAGCCCAUUAUGGAGCCCAAAAACAAAACGAAAACAAACACAAAAAAAUAACACCAAACACAAUUGGCUUCGAUUUGGCGCAACAUUCAAUUCAACUGCCAUUUCGUUUUACUGGGGUUUUUUUUUCCUAUGCGGAAACACGUUUAUCUGGUUGAGCUGCUUAGCCUUACGACUAGACAUCCAUAUGUUCGACUGUAAGCGAUCCAUGUGUCGAUUACAUGGUUCUGAUAGACCGUCGCCAUCGUCUGACUGUACGCGAAAUGUUUGAAAAGCUGUCACGCGUCCAGGGCUUUAUCUCUGCCGCAAAAUCUUACAGCCCAACCACCCCAUCCCGCAACCAGACGUCUCUUGGACCAAUUUUGUCCGGAAUGAGUCAAUAAAAUCACAACUUACAAUACGAAAUUAAAACGUACUUCCGAGAAUUGUGCCUAAAAAUGCCGGUCGCCUUAGGAAUUAAUUGCACAGCCAGCACGAAUCGCAUGCAUAGCUUUAGGAAACCCUCAUGCCACGCAUUUAGGGGUUGAAGAAAAUUAGUCUCUCCACUAGAAGAAAAAAAGCUCUAUUCACAUAGCGGUGAAGUAGACGACAAAAAGGUGUUUGCUUUUUUGUUUUGCACACCUCUCAACCUAAAGGUGAGUGGCAUUUAGCUUUUUCGCAAAACAGUGACUGUGCAUUUGUUUUGUAGCUGGCGCUAUUUUUCUUUUGCAAAAAAAAACGUUAUUUGUUGUUUUUUCUUCUCUCUCCUCAUGUUCACGGUGUACACCGGGUCAGCUUUAGGUUCCCACACGAAAGAACAUAACCUUGUUCUCAUUCGGGAUGGAGUGGGCUGUGAAAGUGUAACAUUUUGGGAUGCUGGAGCAAAAAAAAACAAAAAUGUGGGUAAGCAAUGUAUGUUAACGUCAAAAAAGAGACCGUCCUUUUAUUGCUCACAAAAACUCGUUAUGGCAGUGAGUUAUUAUAAACACAUAAGUGCCUUUUUUCCUGGGCGCAAAGCGAAACGUUGAGGACUUUAAUUGAUUUCAGAGUGAUUUUAAUUAACAUUUCACACACUUUGGAGUAGAUUUUCACGAAAUAUUAUCGCAGGACACACACGACCUUCCAUGUGUUUAUUUAAUUAGUGAUGAAAAUUAGAUCUACUUAAGAGAAAUUCAUUUUGAUUAUGUAUGAGUUUUUUUAAAUUUUCUAAACAAUUGGGUUAAGUGUCAUAUCCUUAUGACUUUGUUAUUUAAAGGGAGAUAUACAGUCGGCAUGUUCAGAAAAUUAGACAGUUAUUCUAAAUAUUUUUCAAACUCAAAAUCCUAGCUCUAGUAGAACAAAAAUCUGAUCAAUAAAGGAUGAAGUAAUGGUCCAAAAAGUAAACUCAUUCAAAUGAAAAACAAAUAAAUAAAAAUGCUCAAAUGCAUGUUCAAUACUCUGGUUCGUUGACUUUUAUGUUACUGAUUAGAUUGAAAGGAAAAAGAUUAUGUAAGCGAUAUUAAAUACAUACUAAUUUUAUAACAACAUUUAAUUUCCUAACGAACACAUUACUCAUUCCAAGAUAAAUAUUUAUGUGCUUCAAACGUAGCAACGAAAUGCAUUGUACAGAUCAAUGGCCCAAUGGUACACGUUCAUCGAUACGAAUCCCUACAUAAAUAACAAAGCCCUACCUCCCAUAAAUUAACGACAUAUGAAAAUGCUUCAUUAUUUAUUACCACCAAACGAGCAGUUUUAUGAUUUCUUCACGCAUCGUGUUUUUCUUCCGCUUGAUUCUUGUACCCGUGCGAAUUUGCAUUCAAUUUGUGGGUCCCUAAGUACACGUACCUACCCCUCGGGUGAUGUCAAGGAUACGACCAGCACGCGAAUUCUUGGCCCCACGAGAGCGAUGAAGCAAACAAGCAAAAUGCCUCCAUAGCGUGUGGCAUACCGCAGACCACAGAAGCCUAAAGGCAGCGCUACGAAAGGCUGCACUCGUGAUCGACAUGCCAUUAGACACGGCGUAACCACAACGAAACACUAAACUCCUGCCAGGAGUUCGUCGCGUACGUCUAACGAUCGAUCCGCCACCAUCUCUCUAUCUCACCCAAUCGAUCGAUCGUUUGGAGCAACAAAUGUCUACCAAAGCAGCAAUGUUUUUCUACAUUGAAUUUGUGAAUGUGAAAUUAAAAACUCGAUAUGCAGCAAAAUUCAAUACCACCCCAACUUGACUUGAACCACCCCCAACACCCCCUGUUUCCGAGGCAAGGUCUUACUUUCACUCGAUCUCGUUUCACUCGAAACCGUACCCAAGACGGACGAAUUCGGUCCGGUCCUGGGGCUUCACUGGGGCCACCCCAAUGGUGAACCACGUACGCAAACACCUUCAUUCACCCCAUUUGAACGCAUUGCUCGCAUUCACAUCCCAUGCAGCAUUCAAAAUUUUAAGCCCUUUUGCAAACCCUUUUUUUGCGAUUAAAAAUUUCUUUUCCAUGUUUUCAUGUCCAUGCUGUUUUUCAUUUUCAUCGCGUUCCACAAACGCGUUUCCCACCGCCCGUUUUGUGUGUGUGUGUUUUUCAAAAACCCCUACAAAACAAUGCAAUUGCUCGGGCUCGUUUGCGUACCUUUCCGCGAUCGUUCACUCUCACGAACGCUACGCUUUAAAUGUCUCCACAUAAUCAGAUGACAAUCGACAGACAUUAGGGGUGGUGUCUUAGCUUUCUGCUUUGAGAUGACACAUUAAGGGUGGUCAAGGGUUGCAACCGGGAAUAGUUGAAGGUUCGUCGCUUUGCUUCCCUUUAAAGUCUAUUCGACCAAUUUGAGUCGCCACCCAACUGAUUAGGUAACAAACUGCAAAAAAAAAAACUGUGGAAAAAAGGUGGGUGGUAAAGGUGGUGAUUUUCCCUUCUCCAGGGCACAGUUUUUCCCCUUAUUCGUCUAUAUGGAUUCGUUCCGGUGAAGCGUGUUGUCCAUUAAACCAACACCAUGGAGAACGGCCACAGGAAAAAAAACAACGUAGACCGACCAAGAUUAUUACUGUCGGGUUAAAGUCAAACGAAAAUAUAGUUAUUAUUUUCCGCAAACAGUACCGUCGGUGCUAUUAAAAAUGUGCAUAAGUUUCUUAUCAACCUCGAAGGCUUGGUUGUUGUUUCUUUAUUAUUUUGUUUUGUACCCUUUUUUUCCGAUAACAAUCGUUCGCUAGCAUGUUUGUCUCAAGGUGAAACACUGCUUUCUUUAGUUGCUAGCAUGAACAACUUGUAAGAGUUGGACGAUAGAGUGAUCGUACGAAAUGGGUGACGAAUUCUACCGUCAAAGAGAAAAGAAUAUAAUAUUCAUUCAGUGUGUUGAGAUAUUUAAAACAUAUUUCAUAUUUGUAAAAAAAACCUUCAUUCCAUUCAUGUCACGCACCUUUACCACGACGAUUCGAAAUGAAAGCGUUUAAAGCAGAAAUCUUCUGCUCGGUUUGUGCGGAUGUACACGUUAGGUUCACUGCAUACACUCCCCAAAAAUGAUGUCAUAACUAAAAAGGCACGAAAAAUUCACCUUCCGCUCCCACGGAAAGCACCACGUUACGAACGGGGCGAAAGUUUAGCUGCAAUCUCAACCAUUUGCAAAGGCGCGAAUCAUUUUGCACAUGCAUCGCACGGUUUUAAAAAGAAGCAAAAAAAAAAACACGACCACAUAAAACACCACCAAACACCCUCGGUGGAUUGGCAUGUUUACGGCGGACACCUUCUCCUACGCCGUAUGUUCCACCCCACACCAGCGAGAUGGGAAAUUUCUCACUUUCGCAAGUCUGAUUGCAACAAGCAUAUUGGUUCCCUGCGUGCCUACGGUUUCUCACCCAACGGUUACGGCCGGGUUGGGAUCGUGUUGGAUGGUCAUUUUGCUUUCGACGUUUUUUUUUGGUUUUGUUUUCCUCCUCUUGCAGUGGCGUCGAAAAUAUGCAAACGGUUGCCAGCCUUAGCUACAGUUUGCCUUCUCUCGAAGCUGCUUUAGCGAAGAAAGAAUUGGUCGCCAUCACGCGAAAUGUGAACCAUUCUUUCAGAUUGUUCUGAACCACGCGAAACUGUUUUAUUCAGUUCAAGCAUCUGUGAAUAACAGUGUGAAAAUAUUCUCACAGCUCUAUUACUGAAAUUUGUGCACGAAUCUACAAACCCUAACAACAAUUUUAAAACAAAUCGACAAACGAUUAACAAUAGAAAGGCUAAAAAAAUCAACUUUUAGUAUUGCAAUAAUCUACCUCGGACUGUCUCCCGGAUACGAAAAUACCUUCUCUUUCUAACAAAUAUGAAACUCAUAGACCUUAUUCAUAGACUUAACCACCUCCUUCACAUGCAGACAACCGUUUAAAUGACUCAAUCGAUCGCCACUCGAUCGCUUGAAAUUGAGACAACCCCACCGCUUCAAAGAACGCAGUCACCGAUCCGGCUUUCAGCUGUCACAGACACAGUACCAUUUGUGAACGAUUUACACACCCUUAAGUCCGUUUCGUUUCGGUGAGUGGAAAUAGACACGACGAAAAACAAUUGCCUCCAAAAAAAACAUGCUACAGAUCACAUCAUACAAGCGCUUGCAUCAGUCCGGAUGCAGCGUGUUCACACCGAUCGGGUUCGUCGCUUGUAAGGCGUAGCAGUUCUUUGUAGCAUUUUGUACUCUUUCGCGUUGUUUUCAAAUGGAAAUUCUUUGUUUGACUGUGGUUAUUUCUGUUUUAUACUAUCGUAAAGCUUACGACAUCAUCGUGUGUCCUUGUGGUCGGUCAUAAAUAAUGAUUAAUUGAACAGCUUUGGUUGGAUGAAUAAAUACCACACAAAUGCACCUGUGUUUGGAUAAGGCCGGGGAAAAUAACAACCGAAGAAUGUAUAUCUUCUCGACGAGACGGUAAAUGAGAUGUGUGGCAAGAGCUUGCGUUCGUGUACUAUAACGAGUUUUGAAGUUUCAUUAAGUUCUUUUCUUGCAAAACAAUUGACAUUCUGAGGAUGUCACUCUAGGUGCGGUGAGAUCUUUCCCAAUUUUAUAAACCAAAUUCAUUGACCUUGCAAUAAUCACUACGACAACGGGCUGUCAAUUUUCACACUUCCCAAAACAAUAUCUUACAGACUGUUUUGUUAACAA
Long non-coding RNA from Anopheles funestus (African malaria mosquito), 10745 nucleotides. RefSeq lists it as uncharacterized. The transcript is spliced from 2 exons. The record is from RefSeq and is a predicted model, not a curated record. NCBI's taxonomy places the organism in Eukaryota, Metazoa, Arthropoda, Insecta, Diptera, Culicidae.